Molecule: ribosomal RNA, 253 nt
Filed under: uncultured bacterium
Lineage: Bacteria
Description: partial 16S ribosomal RNA
Rfam family: Bacterial small subunit ribosomal RNA
Source: RNAcentral
UACGUAGGGUGCGAGCGUUAAUCGGAAUUACUGGGCGUAAAGCGUGCGCAGGCGGUGAUGUAAGACAGAUGUGAAAGCCCCGGGCUCAACCUGGGAAUGGCGAUGGAAACUGGCGAGCUAGAGUACGGUAGAGGAGAGUGGAAUUCCCGGUGUAGCAGUGAAAUGCGUAGAGAUCGGGAGGAACAUCAGUUGCGAAGGCGGCUCUCUGGACCAGUACUGACGCUGAGGCACGAAAGCGUGGGGAGCAAACAGG